This is a long non-coding RNA of Trachemys scripta elegans, 349 nucleotides long. RefSeq lists it as uncharacterized. The transcript has 3 exons. Lineage: Eukaryota; Metazoa; Chordata; Testudines; Emydidae. The record is from RefSeq and is a predicted model, not a curated record.
UGAAGCACACUGAGCCAUGCAGCACUGCACCUAGAACAGAGAGCUCCAUGACAGCCUUCAGCGCUCGCACAGCCUGUGUUCCAUAAUUUAAGCACUAUUUAGAGACGCAAAAGCCUGACAUGUCCGGGGAAAUACGGACGGAUGGCAACCUUAGUAGCCAACAGACCCAUCUCCUAGCUGGUGACCACUUCCAGUUUCCAAGAGUCACCUACCCAGAAACUAGAUAUUGACCUCAAGGGAAAGCUUUAGUCACAAAACCGAGAUCGCCAGUCCUAAUCUGGAUCACCCUGAAUAUGAACAUUGGACUAUAACCUAUGGACUAAUUCUGAAAGAACUCUUUGCAACUACA